CUACGUGCCAGCAGCCGCGGUAAUACGUAUGUCGCGAGCGUUAUCCGGAAUUAUUGGGCAUAAAGGGCAUCUAGGCGGACGAUCAAGUCAGGGGUGAAAACUUGCGGCUCAACUGUAAGCUUGCCUUUGAAACUGAUUGUCUAGAGUAUUGGAAAGGUGGGCGGAACUACACGAGUAGAGGUGAAAUUCGUAGAUAUGUGUAGGAAUGCCGAUGAUGAAGAUAGCUCACUGGACGAUAACUGACGCUGAAGUGCGAAAGCUAGGGGAGCGAACAGGAUUAGAUACCCUGGUAGUCCUAGCUGUAAACGAUGAUCACUGGGUGUGGGCAGGAAGACUGUCUGUGCCGAAGCAAAUGCGAUAAGUGAUCCGCCUGGGGAGUACGACCGCAAGGUUGAAACUCAAAGGAAUUGACGGGGACCCGCACAAGCGGUGGAGCAUGUGGUUUAAUUCGACGCAACGCGAGGAACCUUACCAGAUCUUGACAUCC
RNAcentral lists this ribosomal RNA (487 nucleotides) under uncultured bacterium. RNAcentral describes it as "bacterial SSU rRNA". It matches the Rfam family "Bacterial small subunit ribosomal RNA", at positions 501 to 989 of the family's 1533-position model. The record is from RNAcentral.